GAGCGAGAGAGAGAAGGCUUGGAGUGGAAGUGUAUGUGGAAACAGAUUACCUUACAGUUCAUACCCCUAUGGGAUCUGGAGACCUCGAAAUCAACGGAGUACUCUAUUCAAAAGGUCAUCAUCAUCAUCUCCUACCAGCGCCUUUAUGAGCAACAAUAGCUUGAGCUUCCAAAGGCAGGUCAACAGAAACUGAAGCAGAAGCCAUAGGAGCAACCAGAGCUAAAAUACUUUUAUCCACAGCAAGAGAACAGAGUUGACAGAGUGGCAGUUCCCUUCCACAACCAGCAGAGGUCAGCAAUGCUGCACUUGAACGGCACAGAGCUGCAGACUCUCCUGCUAUCCUUCCUACAGCACUGUCUGAAUGGCACAGGUUUUCUGGGCCCAGUACUCCCUCAUAACUACACUACCCAGCAGGCCGUUCUCCCAGUGGGCGGAGCUAUACCUAAGGCUCAAGCUCAGGGAUUUGUGUAUAUUCUACUUAUGGUAGGUAUGUUUAGUUUCUUCACGUUUGGUAUCAUGCUGAGCUACAUCCGCUCCAAGAAGCUGGAGAGCUCCCAUGAUCCGUAUCACCAGUACAUUGCUCACGACUGGACCAAAGGACUCACCCUCCCACGGGCUGUCACACAGGCACUGCAUGGGGCAGACACACGUAUUGGAGACAACGGGAAGAACCCCAUGGUCAUCUGCAACCCUGCUGCAUUGGAGCUCCCAGGAUAGGUUG
Long non-coding RNA from Coregonus clupeaformis (lake whitefish), 721 nucleotides. RefSeq lists it as uncharacterized. The record is from RefSeq and is a predicted model, not a curated record. The transcript has 3 exons. Lineage: Eukaryota; Metazoa; Chordata; Actinopteri; Salmoniformes; Salmonidae.